UUCAGUCUGUCUCAGAUAUUUUUGGAUAUCAGGACACAUAUGAUGCAUAGCAAAGACAGGCAUGCAGUUUUAGGAGAAGCUAAAAUGUGGUGGCUCACGCUCUGAUGAAAAACUGAAGAGAAGAUGAGAAGAUGAUGCCUCCUCUGAGGACUACCAAACAACCACAGCCAGAUUUUCACUUCUGCAAGAUCACCUAACCCCAUCAGACUUCUAUCAAAACAAAAAAGGAGGACCCAUGUAUGUUCACAGACUGAGAAAUAAGUCACCUUCAUGUCAUGCCACCACAUUCUGGAUCUAUCAGUUAUUUCAAAGAUAGAGAAGUUCCUCAGAUUACAUCCUGUCCAGCAAAUCACUUCAGCUCGUCUUUAAGCCGCUGAGCCGAUCAGUAGGACGAUUUCCUGCUUACAGUUGGUCACCAGCACCUCUGCAAGCCCAAAGGGCAGGUCAGCAGCCACUGGAUCAAUCUCUGACCAAGUCCCUGUCUGCCUAGACUCUGUCACCACUGACAAUCUGAAUGUCCCCCAAACUUCUGCCAUUUGUUAUUUAUUAAUAAUGCUGCUUGGUGUCUUUUUUUUGCUUUGACUUGUUAUUGACUUAUCAGUGCCUCCUUAUUGACUUAUCAGUGUCUCCUGUAUAGAUGAGUUGUAGUACUUAUGGUGCAGAUACAGAGACUGAAAUACCAUCAAUUACUUCCUUCACAAUAUAUAAAAAGAUAUAUAGACAUAGAUAUAUGAUAAAUAAGAUUCAUGCAUUACAUAGAGGCUUGUCCUGAAAUUGCCCUCAAGACCACCUGGAGGCACAUUUACCUUGCAGUUAGUGUGAGAGAAAGGCAAACCCUAGGGAGUAAAAUCCAGCUCACUACAGACAGGUGAGAGACCACUUCAAGUCAGUAAUUAGGAGAUAGAGAUACAAAAUUGUGUUGUCUCUUCAUGCAGCACUUGAAGCAAUGUCAGCUCAACUGCAUGGAGUCACUGUGCAGAGCUUGACUCAGUCACCUGAGCUGAGAUUUUACAGAUGAUGCUCAGCAUAGAGUGAAAAUGUUAUAACCAACUAGAACACCCCUUCCCAGGAGCAUCCUUCUCUGGGGAAAUAAAGCCUAAUCCUCACCAGCUGUAUGUGCCAGUGCUGCUCUCUCAAAGGAAGAGGGUUGCCCAUCCACGGCAGGGGUGACUAGAAAGACCACAGGGAGCAGUAGAGAGAUGUGAGCAUGAAAAUAUUUUGUGUUGGAUAUGAUUACAUUCAUCCAUAAAAUUAGUAACAACACAGACACCUGGUAGUUAUGUUUCAUGGCCUAAUAAAUAUGUUUAAGGGCAGAAAGCCUUUACUCUGACCUCCUGCAUAGAAUCAGUCCGUGCUAUAUGAUUGUCUAGAGUUUAGCUCCCAGCUUUCACUGGGGACUCACAGGUUAUUAUAGUGGGAUGAACUCUGCUGUGACCACUUAGAUCUGAGACCCUUGAGAACAUGCCAGAGCUGAACACAAUGGGGUGAGUCCCCUUACAAUGAGUUGUAAUUGCAGACGCUGGGUGGUGGUAUUGUAGUCUUGAAAACAUUUGUGUUUGCUCAUGGUUUUGACAGAUGUUGAACUUUGCAGAAGAGUGAGAGAGGGACGGGUUUGUAGGAUGCAAAGAGCACGUACACACGUUUGAGAAUUGCUGUGGCGGGUACACAUGGCCACAGAGGAAAGAAGCAGUGUAAGCAGCAAGACAAGAGAUUGCCAGCAUUUCCUAUGGGAUUCAGUUGCUGAGAACCUCUUCAGAAGAGGUUUGGGGUGAUUUUUCCUCUUAGUAUGCUAACCAUGAUCUGCUCUUAUUCAGGGCUGUCUUGUUCAUAUUGUGAAUAUACAGAUCUCCAGGUAUAGGAUGCCUAAAGCCAAGGUUACUGCUUCUCCUUUAGCGGAGAGCAGAGGCACAGAGCCCUGAGGAAUCUGCUACUUCAUGCCAGGAGGCAGACCACAGAUGACAGAUCUACUGGUAGGAGGCUGCCUUUUGUGCAGCUCCAUAAGCACAUAAAUUCUGUCUCUAUCUUUUAAAACAAAACAUUAUUAGAGAUAUAUGAACGUGUGAUAUCGGCACACCUGGCCUGGGUCUGGAGAGCCCAUGAAAUGUGUUAGACUUGUUAUUACUUGAUUAUUUCUUUGCACAGCUGUAUUUCCCUGCUCCCGAAUGCUUAUGAAAUGUCUCUGCUGAUGUAUGGAGACUCACAGCACUGAAGGCUAGAGAAAGCCCCUUGAUAUAUUACAACUCAUUGUGCGUCACUGCAUUAAA
Pogoniulus pusillus (Red-fronted tinkerbird) is the source of this 2264-nucleotide long non-coding RNA. RefSeq lists it as uncharacterized. The record is from RefSeq and is a predicted model, not a curated record. Lineage: Eukaryota; Metazoa; Chordata; Aves; Piciformes; Lybiidae. The transcript is spliced from 2 exons.